GACGAACGCUGGCGGCGUGCUUAACACAUGCAAGUCGAACGGAAAGGCCCUGCUUUUGUGGGGUGCUCGAGUGGCGAACGGGUGAGUAACACGUGAGUAACCUGCCCUUGACUUUGGGAUAACUUCAGGAAACUGGGGCUAAUACCGGAUAGGAGCUCCUGCUGCAUGGUGGGGGUUGGAAAGUUUCGGCGGUUGGGGAUGGACUCGCGGCUUAUCAGCUUGUUGGUGAGGUAGUGGCUUACCAAGGCUUUGACGGGUAGCCGGCCUGAGAGGGUGACCGGCGACAUUGGGACUGAGAUACGGCCCAGACGCCUACGGGAGGCAGCAGUGGGGAAUAUUGCACAAUGGGCGGAAGCCUGAUGCAGCAACGCCGCGUGCGGGAUGACGGCCUUCGGGUUGUAAACCGCUUUCGCCUGUGACGAAGCGUGAGUGACGGUAAUGGGUAAAGAAGCACCGGCUAACUACGUG
Molecule: ribosomal RNA, 468 nt
Filed under: uncultured bacterium
Lineage: Bacteria
Description: partial 16S ribosomal RNA
Rfam family: Bacterial small subunit ribosomal RNA
Source: RNAcentral